RNAcentral lists this ribosomal RNA (253 nucleotides) under uncultured bacterium. RNAcentral's name for it is "partial 16S ribosomal RNA". It matches the Rfam family "Bacterial small subunit ribosomal RNA", at positions 524 to 776 of the family's 1533-position model. The record is from RNAcentral.
UACGUAGGGUGCGAGCGUUGUCCGGAAUUAUUGGGCGUAAAGGGCGCGUAGGCGGUUUGUCGCGUCGGGGGUGAAAACCCAGGGCUUAACUCUGGGCUUGCUUUCGAUACGGGCAGACUAGAGGUAUGCAGGGGAGAACGGAAUUCCUGGUGUAGCGGUGAAAUGCGCAGAUAUCAGGAGGAACACCGGUGGCGAAGGCGGUUCUCUGGGCAUUACCUGACGCUGAGGAGCGAAAGUGUGGGGAGCGAACAGG